AACGAACGCUGGCGGCGCGCCUAACACAUGCAAGUCGAACGAGAAGCUGUAGCAAUACAGUUGUACAGUGGCGAACGGGUGAGGAAUACAUGGGUGACCUACCCUCGAGUGGGGAAUAACCAGCCGAAAGGUUGGCUAAUACCGCGUACGUUUCCCAGUCCGCGGAUUGGGAAGGAAAGCGAUGCCGUGGGUAUCGCGCUCAAGGUUGGGCUCAUGUCCUAUCAGCUUGUUGGNGAGGUAACGGCUCACCAAGGCAACGACGGGUAGCUGGUCUGAGAGGACGAUCAGCCACACUGGCACUGCGACACGGGCCAGACUCCUACGGGAGGCAGCAGUGAGGAAUAUUGCGCAAUGGGCGAAAGCCUGACGCAGCGACGCCGCGUGA
Molecule: ribosomal RNA, 385 nt
Filed under: uncultured bacterium
Lineage: Bacteria
Description: bacterial SSU rRNA
Rfam family: Bacterial small subunit ribosomal RNA
Source: RNAcentral